This 353-nucleotide unclassified non-coding RNA is filed under the name soil metagenome. Its description in RNAcentral is "partial contains 5.8S ribosomal RNA, internal transcribed spacer 2, and large subunit ribosomal RNA". The stretch from base 1 to 120 matches the Rfam family "5.8S ribosomal RNA", at positions 35 to 154 of the family's 154-position model. The record is from RNAcentral.
GAUGAAGAACGUAGCGAAAUGCGAUAAGUAAUGUGAAUUGCAGAAUUCAGUGAAUCAUCGAAUCUUUGAACGCACAUUGCGCCCGCCAGUAUUCUGGCGGGCAUGCCUGUUCGAGCGUCUUUACAACCCUCAGGCCCCCGGGCCUGGCGUUGGGGAUCGGCGGAAGCCCCCUGCGGGCACAACGCCGUCCCCCAAAUACAGUGGCGGUCCCGCCGCAGCUUCCAUUGCGUAGUAGCUAACACCUCGCAACUGGAGAGCGGCGCGGCCACGCCGUAAAACACCCAACUUCUGAAUGUUGACCUCGAAUCAGGUAGGAAUACCCGCUGAACUUAAGCAUAUCAAUAAGCGGAGGA